AGCGAACGUUAGCGGCGGGCUUAACACAUGCAAGUCGAACGCGAAAGGGAUUCGUCCCCAGUAGCAUGGCGUCCGGGUGAGUAACACGUAGGAAACCUUGCCUAGAGUGGGGGAUAACGUCCCGAAAGGGACGCUAAUACCGCAUAAGCCCACGUCGGCCUCGGCCGAUGCGGGAAAAGAUGGCCUCUGAAUUCAAGCUAUCGCUCAAGGAUGGUCCUGCGGCGCAUCAGCUAGUUGGUGGGGUAACGGCCUACCAAGGCGAAGACGCGUAGCUGGUCUGAGAGGAUGAUCAGCCACACUGGCACUGAAACACGGGCCAGACUCCUACGGGAGGCAGCAGUGGGGAAUAUUGGACAAUGGGCGCAAGCCUGAUCCAGCCACGCCGCGUGAAGGACGAAGGCGCUCAGCGUUGUAAACUUCUUUUGGAUGGGAACAAUAACUCCGACUUGUCGGAACUUGAGGGUACCAUCAGAAUAAGCACCGGCUAACUCCGUGCCAG
This 499-nucleotide ribosomal RNA is filed under the name uncultured bacterium. RNAcentral's name for it is "bacterial SSU rRNA". It matches the Rfam family "Bacterial small subunit ribosomal RNA", at positions 29 to 511 of the family's 1533-position model. The record is from RNAcentral.